RNAcentral lists this ribosomal RNA (492 nucleotides) under uncultured bacterium. RNAcentral's name for it is "bacterial SSU rRNA". It matches the Rfam family "Bacterial small subunit ribosomal RNA", at positions 21 to 507 of the family's 1533-position model. The record is from RNAcentral.
GGCUCAGGAUGAACGCUAGCGACAGGCCUAACACAUGCAAGUCGAGGGGCAGCACGAGUAAGCUUGCUUACUUGGUGGCGACCGGCGCACGGGUGCGUAACAGGUGUGCAAUCUGUCCAUAAUCGGGGAAUAGCCCAGCGAAAGUUGGAUUAAUGCUCCAUGUGAGUUUUAGAGGCAUCUCUUUAACUUGAAACGCAAGGAUUAUGGGUGAGCACGCUUCUGAUUAGGUAGUUGGCGGGGUAACGGCCCACCAAGUCGACGAUAGCUAGGGGAUCUGAGAGGACGGUCCCCCACACUGGUACUGAGACACGGACCAGACUCCUACGGGAGGCAGCAGUAAGGAAUAUUGGGCAAUGGAGGCAACUCUGACCCAGCCAUGCCGCGUGAAGGACGAAGGCCCUACGGGUCGUAAACUUCUUUUGUCAGGGAAUAAAGUCGCCUACGCGUAGGCGUUUGCAGGUACCUGAAGAAUAAGCAUCGGCUAACUCCGUG